CAGAGAGCGGACACGGCCGCCAUGAUGAAACCCUGCAUGGUCUCUCCAUGCCUUAGAGAGGUUAAAGACUCACUUUUCAAAGGACAGAAUACACUUUCCACAGGAAUGAUUCCAUGUCGAUUCUACAAAGCCAGCCGAGGAGAGGGACCCAGCAGCAGAAGACACCGAGAUACAGUGAGGGAUGAGAGGGACUUUGAUGAGGCGAUACCCCUCAUGAGAGGUGAUAGGUGCCUGGACAAAGUUGGGGCAAGUCUUCUGGGGAAGCCGACAUUCACCUGAAACCACAAGAAAUCUGUUGAAACAUGGAAUUUCGAAUCAAAUUAUAAACGUCUGAGGGAAGAAUGAAAACCUUUUCGGACAUAGACGGACUCAAAAAUAUCUUCUCCAGUCGCGUCGGAACGCGAUCCAGUUAAAUGCGGGAGGAACCAGGGAAAGGGACCAACGACAGAGAGAAAUGAGAACGGCUUCCUGGGAGUGAAAGGCCAGCAAGCAGCUCCAGACAGGAAUCACCUGGCUGUAGGUACAACCAGAGGGACCGCCCAAAGCACCGGGCUCCGCCUCCAGCAUGCCCGGUGUGUGGGGGAGGGGGCAGAGAAUAAUCAACCGGAACAGAAGUCAGGGGGUGAAAAUUUGAAGAAGGAGCCAUAGGGCGUGGGGGCAGAAUCCCAAAGACUUGGAGCAUGGAGCAGCAGAUUAAAGUACGUUCAAUAAGAAGGUGAAAGACGUACUAAGAAACUCUCCAGGGGGAAAAAAUCCUGACCUCACCGGUUACAUUCACUAUUACCAACCUCAUGGGCCUCUUGUGAGGAUUGUUAGUUAAUAACUGUUGAGUGCCUGGAAAGGACCAAAGUCAACAGAUACAAGAAAAUGAAACUUUGCUGAGUGAGCCCUUGGUGAUAGCCCCGCGGGGCCAGGGAGGAGUGGUCAGUUCCUUAACAGCUGAGAUUCAUUCAAGCCCUAGUUUGAAUCACUGAGUGCUUAGCCCUGGCUAAGGAUAUAAGUCGUACUAACUUAGAAAGCAUGCGAAAACUGUAAAUCUAUAAGACAUUAAAAAUACAGACGUUGGGGAAUAGGAAUGAAAAGAACACAAGACAUGCUGUCCGUGUCUUACACAGAGCACAGGUGGCUCAGCAGUUAAGAACACCGUGCCUCCUUGCAGAGGACCUGGGCUCGAUUCCCAGCACCCACAUGUUGGCUUACACUCCAGUUCCUGGAAUGGGGUCUAAUGCCCUCCAUAGUCACAAGACGCACACAGAGGCAAAGCGCCAUACACCUAAAAUAAAAUAAUAGUGUGGUGGUUUGAAUGAGAAUGGCCGCAGGCUCAUAUAUAGGAAGUGUGGCCUUGUUCGAGGGGGUGUGGCUUUGUUGGAGAGGUGUGGCCUUGUUGGAGGGUGUGACUUUGUGAAAGGGGUGUGGCCUUGUUGGAGGGGUGUGGCCUUGUUGGAGGGUGUGACUUUGUGAAAGGGGUGUGGCCUUGUUGGAGGGGUGUGGCCUUGUUGGAGGGUGUGACUUUGUGAAAGGGGUGUGGCCUUGUUGGAGGUGUCACUGAGGUUUGAGGUUUCAAGAGCCCAAUAUAGCCCCUGUCUCAAUGUCUCUUAGCUUUACUGCUUGCUGCUCAGAAUGUAAGUUCUUAGUAGUUCCUACGCACUAUUCUAGUGCCAUGCCCGGCUGCCUGCCGCCAUUCUCCUCGCCACAAUGGUUACGGACUUGCCCUCUGAAACUGUAAGCAAUCCUCCGAUUAAACGCUUUCUUCUACA
Molecule: non-coding RNA, 1757 nt
Organism: Rattus norvegicus (Norway rat)
Lineage: Eukaryota; Metazoa; Chordata; Mammalia; Rodentia; Muridae
Source: RefSeq, a predicted model, not a curated record